RNAcentral lists this long non-coding RNA (519 nucleotides) under Homo sapiens (human). RNAcentral describes it as "non-protein coding LINC02232:24". The record is from RNAcentral. Lineage: Eukaryota; Metazoa; Chordata; Mammalia; Primates; Hominidae.
AGUUCCCACUGAAACUGAUUGACAAAAAGGGCCUGGCACCUCUCUCUUCUCUCUCUUUCUCUCUCUCACCAUGUGAUCUAUGCAUGCCUGUUCCCGUCUGCUUGCACUAAGAAUGGAAACAGCCUAAGUUCCUCACCAGAAGCAGAGGCUGGCACCAUGUUUGUUAUGCAGCCUGCAGAACCAGAAAUCAUGGGAAAAACUGCCCAUUUCUGUUUUGUCCACUUUGCUUUGGGAAGUGAGAGCUAUAGUCAUUAUCACCACAUCCCCUGGCAUCCAAUUCCACAUUCUACCUCAGAAGUUAUUUGGAGGAAUCCAAGGACUUAGAUAUUUUACCAAUGUCUCUGGUGAUUUUUAUAUCGGUGGCCCAUGGGUGUUGACCUAUGAAACUGCUCUGCAGCAGAUAUUGAGAAAUAGGAGUUCAGACCAUCGAACUCCAAGUACUUCAGAUUUGGAACUCGGACUGCUUUCCUUGCUCCUCAGCCUGCAGAUGGCCUAUUGUGGGACCUUGUGAUUAUGUGA